UUCUUUUUCCACCGGAGCUUGCUCCACCGGAAAAAGAGGAGUGGCGAACGGGUUGAGUAACACGUGGGUAACCUGCCCAUCAGAAGGGGAUAACACUUGGAAACAGGUGCUAAUACCGUAUAACAAUCGAAACCGCAUGGUUUUGAUUUGAAAGGCGCUUUCGGGUGUCGCUGAUGGAUGGACCCGCGGUGCAUUAGCUAGUUGGUGAGGUAACGGCUCACCAACGGCGACGAUGCAUAGCCGACCUGAGAGGGUGAUCGGCCACAUUGGGACUGAGACACGGCCCAAACUCCUACGGGAGGCAGCAGUAGGGAAUCUUCGGCAAUGGACGAAAGUCUGACCGAGCAACGCCGCGUGAGUGAAGAAGGUUUUCGGAUCGUAAAACUCUGUUGUUAGAGAAGAACAAGGAUGAGAGUAACUGUUCAUCCCUUGACGGUAUCUAACCAGAAAGCCACGGCUAACUACGUGCCAGCAAGGCCGCGGUAAUACGUAGGUGGCAAGCGUUGUCCGGAUUUAUUGGGCGUAAAGCGAGCGCAGGCGGUUUCUUAAGUCUGAUGUGAAAGCCCCCGGCUCAACCGGGGAGGGUCAUUGGAAACUGGGAGACUUGAGUGCAGAAGAGGAGAGUGGAAUUCCAUGUGUAGCGGUGAAAUGCGUAGAUAUAUGGAGGAACACCAGUGGCGA
This 681-nucleotide ribosomal RNA is filed under the name Enterococcus hirae. RNAcentral describes it as "bacterial SSU rRNA". It matches the Rfam family "Bacterial small subunit ribosomal RNA", at positions 69 to 718 of the family's 1533-position model. Lineage: Bacteria; Bacillati; Bacillota; Bacilli; Lactobacillales; Enterococcaceae. The record is from RNAcentral.